ACCCCUGCAUUGUAAGGGCAGAGUCUUAACCACUGCACUGCCAAGUCCCAGAGGCUUCAGUAAUUUGGAUGAGAGAUGAAGGUAGCUACGACCAGAGUGACUGUAGUGGAGAUUCUGAGAAGUAGAUUCUGGAUUGGAGGUGGGUGACUGAGCAAAGGAGGAGUCCAGAAUAACUCCUUGGUUCUGGACUUGAGCAAAUUAUAAGGAUGGAGAUGCCAUCAUCGGGAUAAGGAGACAGUGCAGAAGGAACAGGAUUUGGCAGGAAGGCCAGGAAUGCCAGUUUAGGCACAGUUUAUCCUUAAGCAACCCCUCCCGGGGCUACCACUCAUUCCUGUAUGAUCUGUGAUGCAGCUGUUGAUGUCCUUAGCUUCCCCCUCCCUCCGCCAGCUGAGUCUUUUUCUGACGUCCACCCUUCAGUAUGCCUUUGCUUCGGAGCAUCUUCUCACACUCUCAGUUCAGUACAACACGUUGGAUAAGUGAGCUGUUUCUCACAUAUGAGGAUGGUGCUUUUGAACCCCAGUCAGCAAGGAGUGAGCUCUGUGCUGUUUCUCUCCCGGUGACGGGGCCUGUGCUGAGUCAUCCACUCUGGCCGGCAGCAAACGUUUGUGAAGACAGUCACCAUGGAUUAUGAGUUUGUUCUGUGGCUGGUGGUAAAAUUAUGUUUGUUAAUUUCCCAGGCUAAUUGCUCAUUCUAUCCUGAAACAAGCUGGCCCACAGAGCUAUCCCAUCUUUGGACCUGGCUUUAUCUGUGCCAUAUUUUAUCAAAUGGGGGUAACGGAUGGAGAUGCACUGUUUAAGAUGGCUGAUCUGGGAUAGACCCACUCAUAUGAGAGUACGUCGGAGACCUACUUUGCCUUUUGACGCCAAAGACAGUGGUUGUCACAUAAGAGGGUCAGUGGAAAUCAACCAACAGCAAGAAAGCACUGAAUACAAAAGAAGGAGUGGAGGGGAGGGAAGAGCUUGUCCUGCAGGAAAAGGACGCUGAGAAGGGCCUUGGGGCUACAAAUGACGGACAGAAACACAGAGAAGAGAGUCAGCGCAGAGUGGUUGAGGGCAGUCAUGUGCUAAAAAGUCCCCAGGAGCAGAGCCACGUGCCUGACUGGCAACCUCCUCUCUCCCUCCUGACUGAUAUGAAAAAGGAGACGUGCGGAUCCUUCUCGGCUCUCUUUCUUCCCGUUGCUCUUCUGUGACUCAACCAAGAGGGUACUCCAAUCCAUACCAAAGACAUCUCCAGAUACCAACAAAGGAAAGUUGACUGGAAUGAUCAGAAACAAAAGUCCUGUCUCAAACACAGAUCACUGAAUGCUGUGACUCUUCGGUUGCUUGGGCUUCCCCGGUGGCUCAGCGGUAACGAAUCUGCCUGCCAAAGGA
Molecule: non-coding RNA, 1371 nt
Organism: Odocoileus virginianus texanus
Lineage: Eukaryota; Metazoa; Chordata; Mammalia; Artiodactyla; Cervidae
Source: RefSeq, a predicted model, not a curated record